Adelges cooleyi (spruce gall adelgid) is the source of this 208-nucleotide long non-coding RNA. RefSeq lists it as uncharacterized. The transcript is spliced from 3 exons. NCBI's taxonomy places the organism in Eukaryota, Metazoa, Arthropoda, Insecta, Hemiptera, Adelgidae. The record is from RefSeq and is a predicted model, not a curated record.
UGUUUUUCUGGUCGAAGUAUAAGCCCAACCAUAAGUCGCAAGCAGUACAUUUAGUUUUAAAAGCUGAACAAGUCGAUUGUUGUCCAAGAACCUCUUACUAACUCCACAAUUUAAAUCAAAAUGAAACUCUUCUGUUCAUUAAUACCUAUUUUUUUCGUGGGUGUUUUGGCAUAUGAAAGAAGAUAUAUACAAUAUAUUUUCACUACAA